UGAGGAAUCUUCCACAAUGGGCGAAAGCCUGAUGGAGCGACACCGCGUGAAGGAUGAAGCCUUUGUUGGUGUAAACUUCUUUUCUCUGGGAAGAUAAUGACGGUACCAGAGGAAUAAGGGGCGGCAAACUUCGUGCCAGCAGCCGCGGUAAUACGAAGGCCCCAAGCGUUAUCCGGAAUUACUGGGCGUAAAGCGUCUGUAGGUGGUCUGGAAAGUCUCAAGUCAAAGGUCAGGGCUCAACCCUGUACUU
This 250-nucleotide ribosomal RNA is filed under the name uncultured bacterium. RNAcentral's name for it is "partial 16S ribosomal RNA". It matches the Rfam family "Bacterial small subunit ribosomal RNA", at positions 355 to 622 of the family's 1533-position model. The record is from RNAcentral.